RNAcentral lists this ribosomal RNA (164 nucleotides) under uncultured bacterium. Its description in RNAcentral is "partial 16S ribosomal RNA". It matches the Rfam family "Bacterial small subunit ribosomal RNA", at positions 355 to 511 of the family's 1533-position model. The record is from RNAcentral.
UAGGGAAUCUUCCACAAUGGGCGAAAGCCUGAUGGGGCAACGCCGCGUGUGUGAUGAAGGGUUUCGGCUCGUAAAACACUGUUGUAAGAGAAGAAUGACAUUGAGAGUAACUGUUCAAUGUGUGACGGUAUCUUACCAGAAAGGAACGGCUAAAUACGUGUCAG